GGCUCCGUGGCGGAUGGUCCGCGUCUGCACUUGGUGGAUGGAACAUGCUAUGUUAAUCUUGUGGAAGACGCCUGUUCGAAUCAGGCCGGAGCCA
Molecule: non-coding RNA, 94 nt
Organism: Mycena epipterygia
Lineage: Eukaryota; Fungi; Basidiomycota; Agaricomycetes; Agaricales; Mycenaceae
Source: the annotation of a GenBank genome assembly